Long non-coding RNA from Panthera uncia (snow leopard), 688 nucleotides. RefSeq lists it as uncharacterized. NCBI's taxonomy places the organism in Eukaryota, Metazoa, Chordata, Mammalia, Carnivora, Felidae. The record is from RefSeq and is a predicted model, not a curated record. The transcript has 4 exons.
UCUUGGGCGGGGAGUGCCCGCGGCGGCUGAGAGCUUCGGGGCGGCCACUACAAAAUCGCCCUUCUCGGAUCCUCAGUGAUUAUUACCUGUGUAUUGCCGAUUCCCUCCAGUUUCUCGCCGCUCGGCUGAUACACCUGAAAUCGUUCGAGACGACGCCUGCGACUACAGUGCCUGAGAGUCCACUUUCUUUAUACUUUCACCAGCACUGGAUAGGGUAUGGCUCUCUUAUUCCACAGAAGUAAAUAAUUGCAUUUCUUCAGAUCAACUUGAAUCUAAACCUGAGCUCCCAUCCUGCCAUGCUGGAAUCAGAACUGGUGAAAUAAGAAAAGAUGAUCAGUGAAAGCAGAAGCUGAAAGACACAGAGAGAAGGCAGUAUUCAGACUUCAUGAGUAAGCAGAAGCAAUGAAUAAACAAGAGCUCUGAGCAAACAAAAGCCUCACGAGGUAGCAAAAAAGAUAUACAAAGUGACGAAGGAAGUGAUAGACCAUAACUAAGAGUAUCAAAUUCUCAGGAGAAAGUCAAUGGCCUGGGUCACGGGCCAACCCUGAAGCCAGAGGUACAGUCACCUCCUGUGUUACCGGAGGUGGGGGAAUAGUACUAGACAGGCAAAGACUACAGGUGUGCCCCAGCCAUGUAAAGUCAGGCUGGAAUCAGCUCUGUAAGAGCCAGCACUACAUUUGAGCCAAAA